UCAGACGAUGCGUCAUGCAUAUCAAUAAGCGGAGGAAAAGAAACUAACUAGGAUUCCCUUAGUAACGGCGAGUGAAGCGGGAAGAGCUCAAAUUUGAAAUCUUAAAGGGUUCUACCUUGACGAAUUGUAGUUUAAAGAAGUGUUUUCUGUUAGAGUUUCGGUAAAAGUUCUUUGGAAUAGGACAUCAUAGAGGGUGAGAAUCCCGUAUUUGACCGUUAUUUCUAGCUUUGUGAUACACUUUCAAAGAGUCGGAUUGUUUGGGAAUGCAGUCCAAAAUGGGUGGUAAAUUUCAUCUAAAGCUAAAUAUUGGCGAGAGACCGAUAGCGAACAAGUAUCGUGAGGGAAAGAUGAAAAGAACUUUGAAAAGAGAGUUAAACAGUACGUGAAAUUGUCAAAAGGGAAGCGUUUGACACCAGUGUUGUUUUCUCGAAAAUCAAUUAAAAAAGGCAGGAUUUUGUGUUGUAUUGACUUUAUCAGCUUUCUGCACUCUUUUCUUGUCUUUUUUUAAUGCACUUUUCGUUUAACAAGUCAACAUCAAUUUCUUUUGUUGUAAAAGGGUCAUUGGAAGGUGGCUUUCUUUUCGGAGAAAGUGUUUAUAGCCUUUGGCCUCUGCAAUCGGAGAGAUUGAGGUCUGCAGCGUAGAUCCUUCGGGGUUAGAUACAUUUGUGCUAAGUUAUAGCCUUUCAUAGACAACUUGUUGACUAUGAUCAGUCAUGUAGCUUACUCGCUUAUGCUAUUUUACCUACGCUUAGGAUGUUGAUCUACAGAGCGAGAGU
RNAcentral lists this ribosomal RNA (776 nucleotides) under uncultured Neocallimastigales. Its description in RNAcentral is "partial large subunit ribosomal RNA". It matches the Rfam family "Eukaryotic large subunit ribosomal RNA", at positions 18 to 625 of the family's 3401-position model. Lineage: Eukaryota; Fungi; Neocallimastigomycota; Neocallimastigomycetes; Neocallimastigales. The record is from RNAcentral.